Molecule: ribosomal RNA, 863 nt
Filed under: Cubamyces lactineus
Lineage: Eukaryota; Fungi; Basidiomycota; Agaricomycetes; Polyporales; Polyporaceae
Description: Leiotrametes lactinea partial large subunit ribosomal RNA
Rfam family: Eukaryotic large subunit ribosomal RNA
Source: RNAcentral
CCUAGUAACUGCGAGUGAAGCGGGAAAAGCUCAAAUUUAAAAUCUGGCGGUCUUUGGCCGUCCGAGUUGUAGUCUGGAGAAGCGUCUUCCGCGCUGGACCGUGUAUAAGUCUCUUGGAACAGAGCGUCAUAGAGGGUGAGAAUCCCGUCUUUGACACGGACUACCAGUGCUUUGUGAUGCGCUCUCAAAGAGUCGAGUUGUUUGGGAAUGCAGCUCAAAAUGGGUGGUGAAUUCCAUCUAAAGCUAAAUAUUGGCGAGAGACCGAUAGCGAACAAGUACCGUGAGGGAAAGAUGAAAAGCACUUUGGAAAGAGAGUUAAACAGUACGUGAAAUUGCUGAAAGGGAAACGCUUGAAGUCAGUCGCGUUGUCCGGGACUCAGCCUUGCUUCGGCUUGGUGCACUUUCCGGAUGACGGGCCAGCAUCGAUUUUGACCGCCGGAAAAGGGCUGGAGGAAUGUGGCACCUUCGGGUGUGUUAUAGCCUCCAGUCGCAUACGGCGGUUGGGAUCGAGGAACGCAGCACGCCUUAUGGCGGGGGGUUUACCCUACCUUCGUGCUUAGGAUGCUGGCAUAAUGGCUUUAAACGACCCGUCUUGAAACACGGACCAAGGAGUCUAACAUGCCUGCGAGUGUUUGGGUGGAAAACCCGAGCGCGUAAUGAAAGUGAAAGUUGAGACCUCUGUCGUGGAGGGCAUCGACGCCCGGACCUGACGUUCUCUGACGGAUCCGCGGUAGAGCAUGUAUGUUGGGACCCGAAAGAUGGUGAACUAUGCCUGAAUAGGGUGAAGCCAGAGGAAACUCUGGUGGAGGCUCGUAGCGAUUCUGACGUGCAAAUCGAUCGUCAAAUUUGGGUAUAGGGGCGAA